Molecule: ribosomal RNA, 443 nt
Filed under: uncultured bacterium
Lineage: Bacteria
Description: SSU rRNA
Rfam family: Bacterial small subunit ribosomal RNA
Source: RNAcentral
AGAACGAACGCUGGCGGCAGGCUUAACACAUGCAAGUCGAACGCCCCGCAAGGGGAGUGGCAGACGGGUGAGUAACGCGUGGGAAUCUACCUGGUUCUACGGAAUAACACAGGGAAACUUGUGCUAAUACCGUAUACGCCCCAAGGGGGAAAGAUUUAUCGGUGCCAGAUGAGCCCGCGUAAGAUUAGCUAGUUGGUGGGGUAAUGGCCUACCAAGGCGACGAUCUUUAGCUGGUCUGAGAGGAUGAUCAGCCACACUGGGACUGAGACACGGCCCAGACUCCUACGGGAGGCAGCAGUGGGGAAUAUUGGACAAUGGGCGAAAGCCUGAUCCAGCCAUGCCGCGUGAGUGAUGAAGGCCUUAGGGUUGUAAAGCUCUUUCAGUGGGGAAGAUAAUGACGGUACCCACAGAAGAGCCCCGGCUAACUUCGUGCCAGCAGCCGC